GGUUAAGCGACUAAGCGUACACGGUGGAUGCCCUGGCAGUCAGAGGCGAUGAAGGACGUGCUAAUCUGCGAAAAGCGUCGGUAAGGUGAUAUGAACCGUUAUAACCGGCGAUGUCCGAAUGGGGAAACCCAGUGCAAUUCGUUGCACUAUCGUUAACUGAAUACAUAGGUUAACGAGGCGAACCGGGGGAACUGAAACAUCUAAGUACCCCGAGGAAAAGAAAUCAACCGAGAUUCCCCCAGUAGCGGCGAGCGAACGGGGAGCAGCCCAGAGUCUGAAUCAGCUUGUGUGUUAGUGGAACGGUCUGGAAAGUCCGACGGUACAGGGUGAUAGUCCCGUACACCAAAAUGCACAGGUUGUGAACUCGAAGAGUAGGGCGGGACACGUGGUAUCCUGUCUGAAUAUGGGGGGACCAUCCUCCAAGGCUAAAUACUCCUGACUGACCGAUAGUGAACCAGUACCGUGAGGGAAAGGCGAAAAGAACCCCGGCGAGGGGAGUGAAAAAGAACCUGAAACCGUGUACGUACAAGCAGUGGGAGCACCUUCGGGUGUGACUGCGUACCUUUUGUAUAAUGGGUCAGCGACUUAUAUUCUGUAGCAAGGUUAACCGUAUAGGGGAGCCGCAGGGAAACCGAGUCUUAACUGGGCGUUAAGUUGCAGGGUAUAGACCCGAAACCCGGUGAUCUAGCCAUGGGCAGGUUGAAGGUUGGGUAACACUAACUGGAGGACCGAACCGACUAAUGUUGAAAAAUUAGCGGAUGACUUGUGGCUGGGGGUGAAAGGCCAAUCAAACCGGGAGAUAGCUGGUUCUCCCCGAAAGCUAUUUAGGUAGCGCCUCGUGAACUCAUCUUCGGGGGUAGAGCACUGUUUCGGCUAGGGGGUCAUCCCGACUUACCAACCCGAUGCAAACUACGAAUACCGAAGAAUGUUAUCACGGGAGACACACGGCGGGUGCUAACGUCCGUCGUGAAGAGGGAAACAACCCAGACCGCCAGCUAAGGUCCCAAAGUCAUGGUUAAGUGGGAAACGAUGUGGGAAGGCACAGACAGCCAGGAUGUUGGCUUAGAAGCAGCCAUCAUUUAAAGAAAGCGUAAUAGCUCACUGGUCGAGUCGGCCUGCGCGGAAGAUGUAACGGGGCUAAACCAUGCACCGAAGCUGCGGCAGCGACACUAUGUGUUGUUGGGUAGGGGAGCGUUCUGUAAGCCUG
This 1207-nucleotide ribosomal RNA is filed under the name Klebsiella pneumoniae. RNAcentral's name for it is "partial 23S ribosomal RNA". It matches the Rfam family "Bacterial large subunit ribosomal RNA", at positions 1 to 1251 of the family's 2925-position model. Lineage: Bacteria; Pseudomonadati; Pseudomonadota; Gammaproteobacteria; Enterobacterales; Enterobacteriaceae. The record is from RNAcentral.